Molecule: long non-coding RNA, 1549 nt
Organism: Medicago truncatula (barrel medic)
Lineage: Eukaryota; Viridiplantae; Streptophyta; Magnoliopsida; Fabales; Fabaceae
Exons: 2
Source: RefSeq, a predicted model, not a curated record
UUUGGAGCGGGUUUAGCUAUGGGUUCGGGGUCGGUACCUAUAUACCUGUUACCCGUCCCAUACCCGUGUUUUGAAAUUGGGGAAAACCCAUACCCAUACCCAAACCCAGUCAAAACGGGGAAAACCCGUCAAAUUGGGUUUGAUUCGAGGGGUAACCGUGUGUAUGGGUUUUGUUGUCAUGCCUAAUGACAACAAGAUUAGCAAGCCUCAAAUGCUCAAAUUCAUAUAUGAUAUUCUUUGGUUAAAACCAAAGAAGUCAAAUGAUUCCUUCUUUCACAUGAGAUAAUUCCAUUAUGUUUGUGCAACAAGGAAAUCCGUGAAAAAUUAUUAAAAAUUAUUAACUUUUCUAUUAUUGUUUUUAAAAUUUAUUUUUACAAAGUAUUAUGUUUAUAUGAAUUUUACUUGGUUGAAAUUUCGUUCUUAAAUUCCCUUGCAUCCACUUUUGUUACCAAUAUCUACUAAUGAAAGUUCUAUAUCUAUCGUUGGGAUAUUUAUAAUCAAGAAAAUGUUGUUAGACAAUGUUGGCUUGAGAAAGUCAAUUGUAUUAGGAUCCAAAAGCAUAAAAAGUCAAUUGCUUAAUGAACUUAAAAAGUCAACUGUUUAUUAAUGGGAUCGGAGGGAAUAUUUAGAUGACUUUGACUUGAAAAUUGUCACAUAAACCGGGAGUUGCCAAUCAAAUAGUGUUUUGGUUCAUCAUUUAGUUUUAGUUUAUUUCUUCUCUUAUGCAAUUUAAGAUUCAGUGAUCAAUUUCACCUAAUUUUCAUCUAUACCAUCCAUGUCUUCCUUCACUUCCUCCACCAAUAUCUGCCUGGAAUUUGAAUCCAUAUUUACUACCGAUCCAAGGAAGAGAAGGUACAAUGUGUUCUUGAGUUUCUACGCUCAGGACAAAGGUUAUUUUCUUUCGAAUCUCGAAGAGGCUCUUAGUUUAGAAGCUGGUAUCGAUGUUUUUGGGGUCAUUAAGAGGUUUCAACAUGGAGAACGGGCAGAGUCUGUGCUGAAUGUAAUUCAAGACUGCAAAGUCGCUAUAGUCCCAGUGUUCUUCAAAACAGGGUUGUGCAAAUGCAUAGAUAUCCAAGGAAACAUAAAUUCUAAACAUUAGAUAUGUGUUCAGAAGGACUAAAAAGGACUUCAGAUUCAUAUCUGAUGCAAUCUCAAUAACAAAUAGGAUUGAAGAACAACAUUGACCAAGUAAGUAGGAGGUCAAAUGCAAAUCUCAUGUGAUAAAAAUGACUUUAAAAUAGACAUUAGAAAGCACUUCAGAUUGCAGAUUAGAUAGAUUUGAAUGGAAGAUCAGAAGCACUUAAAAAUGGCUAGUUCAAAGAAGUUCAGAACCAGAGUUCAAAACCAAUCUCAUCUAAAAAGUCCAAGAUCAAAUUUGAAAUUAGUUUGUUAAUGAUAAAUGUUAGUUUGUUAAUUUCUUUUUGAGGGAAAGUGUUAUUAUGUUGAUUGUUAUGUUGGUAUUUUUCUCUUGUAACAUCCCAUACGACUUUAAAUAUUGUCGACUUGUCCCACAAACUAACACAAGUUUUUUCAACAUGUUUUAUCAUCA